RNAcentral lists this long non-coding RNA (3065 nucleotides) under Cricetulus griseus (Chinese hamster). RNAcentral's name for it is "lncRNA (ENSCGRG00015030197.1)". The record is from RNAcentral. Lineage: Eukaryota; Metazoa; Chordata; Mammalia; Rodentia; Cricetidae.
GGAUGCUCAGUAAAGCAAAUCAGCCUCACACUUGUGCUAGGAAUAGAGGUCUCACUGCUGUGUAUACGACUAUUUCCUGGGCUGGUGAGCACCACCUAAACACAGCUUCCUCCUUACACACACACCUCUUCUUGUAGGCAUAAACAAAUGUCCUCUUUCUCAUAUCUGCCAGCAUUCCCAUGUUUGCACCUGAGCUGAGGCUAUUUCACACUCUUCCUCCCAACCUAACUCACACAUGGGGGAGGACGGUGCUGAGGAUGGAAGGAAACUGGUGGGAGAGAGGGGAGGCCCCCAAAGUUGGGAAUGCAUAACUUGUUUGUGAUGGAAAAUUUCCUCAGGCCUUCAGGGAAAAUAAAAGAGAGACCUCAGGUUCAGGUUUCAACACUAAGCCCCACAUCUGGGAUCCUAGCUGCAGCUGGGCCUAGUUAGCCUCAUUGUCCUCCUCCCCACACAGGGACGAAGAGAUGACCCAGAGAACCCAGAUUGUUGCCAUUUUUUUUUUCUCAUUCUCACCCCAUUUUCCACCAUCUCUGGAGACUCUGCCACCCAGGAAGCUAGGGAAAGAUGGAGAAGUGAGGGGGGUGUGGGAGUGGGGGCUGGGUGAUGAGUUACAGCCAGGAAGUACCAGAGGUUGCGAGCAUGAGCUGGAUCAGAGCCCAGUGUUCUCAUCCCAGAGAAACAGGCCCGGAGCUGCUCCAACCCCCCAUCCACAUUCCCCCUCUCCCGGAUCCGCCUGUUCCUUCAUUUCCUUCCUCUGACCAGAUUUGACCAUAUGGGAGUCAGCCUGCAGCUCCCUUCGCUACUUCAGUGUCAGCAAGUGGAGAGUGUGACUGAACCCAGGGCCACCUGAUUGCUAAGCCAGCACUCUACCAACUCAGCUACAAUUCCCACACACACCUUUUUGACCCAGGUUCAAAAUAUAAUCAGAGGGGGAAAGGUACAGUGGAUAAAGUUGUCUCUUGUUGUCUGGCACCCCAUAUUUACUGAAGGCCCUCCAGUGGGACUUCUACUUCCAAAGCACCAUGAUUCAGCAGCAUCUCUCACAAAUCCCCGAAAGUCAGACGCGCCUCCCUCCCCUUUUUACAGCAGCUGCCACAGGCCCGUUUCUUUAAAGGUUGGGAGAGAAUGUCCCCUCCCAGAGAGGCCUCAGGGCCAGAGGUGGUGCUCAAUAAAGGCUGGCCAGAUGCCACCCGGGAUCGCGUGUUAGGACGGGCUUGAUCUGCUGCCAAGGAUUCCCUAGAGCGUCUGGGUCCUAAGCUGCCGUCAUCCUGGUGACUCCCGAGCAGUUCUGGCACAACACCGAUGGCUUUCCCUGUCUCAGACAAUGAAGGAGUUGGAAAUCCCACCCAGAACAGUGGGAGGAUGGCUCACAAGGGGAACGUGAGGGAUAACACGCAUCUCUUCUCCUGGUCAGCAUCAAACUCCCUCUCUGGAUAGCGCCUGCCCAUUUGGAGUUGCUCCUGUCUGCUGAACCCCAAGAUCAACCCCCCCCCCCCAGAGUACAGAAGUGGUUGUGUGGCUACAUUCCCCAGUUCAGAAAGGAAAACAGGGACUCCCACAUUCCCGGGCAGUUGAGCCACCCUCAGCUUGGACCAGCUUAGCUAGUGAUUUUGGUAUUCAUUAACUAUUCACCACCAGAAACAAAGACAGUGAUGGGCCACAAAGAACCUUCCAAAAGCCAGGUGUUGUCACUGGUGCUGGCUGUAGGCUGGGACUUCCACUGUCACGGCUGGGUUCAGUUUGGGAUCAGGUAAUAUGGUUUGGGGAUGAAGGCGUGGCUCAGUGGCUGGAGGGCUUGCUGAGCAUGGUUGAGGCCUGAGGUUUGAUCCUGCCCUCAAAAACCAGACUCUGUGGCACAAGCCUAUUAUCUUGGCCUCUGGAUGUGGAAAAGUAUCAGGAGGCCAAGGUCAUAUCUAUCUAUCUAUCUAUCUAUCUAUCUAUCUAUCUAUCUAUCUAUCUAUCUAUCUAUCUGUCUAUCUAUGGAGUUUGAAGUCUGGUAGCCUUCCCAAGACCCUGGCUCAAGAAAGCAAAAGCAAAAGCUAAGUGUGGUGGUAUGGUUGUAAUCCCAUCACUUGGUAGGCUGAGGCAGGGAGCUCAUUCUGAGUUCUAGACCAACCUGAUCCAAGUACAAAGCCUUAGGCCAGUCAGGAUGCCCUAGCAAGACAUUGCCUCAAAAACCAAACUGAUGGCAGAAGCGAUGUCUCAGUGCCCAAAGGUGCUGCCCCGAAGCCUGAAAACCUGAUUGCAUACCCAGGUCUCACGUGGUGGGAGGAGAGAAUCAAUCCUGUGAAGUUGUUCUCUUCCCUCCUCCUCUCCAUCGUGCAUGCACCUGUACACAUGCACACUAAAUAAAUAAACGCACAGUAAUAAUUUUUAAGAAACUUUUGGGCCAUCGAGAUGGCUCAGAGGGUAAAAGAUCUUGCUGCCAAACCCACCACAACCCUCAUGGUAGAAGAAGAGAACUGACUCCCAUAAGUUAAAUAAUUGGAUGUUUUCUUUUUCCUUUUCUCUCUUGUGCUAUUUUUGUCUUAAAAGCUUUUUAAAAAAGUUUUACACAGGCACAAGUGGCACACGCCUUUAAUGCCAGCAGUUGGGAGGCAGAGGCAGGCAGAUCUCUGUGAGUUUAAGGAUAGCCUAGUCUACAGAGUGAACUCCAGGACAGCCAGGAUUGUUACACAGAGAAGCCCUGUCUCAGAACAAACAAACUACAAAGAUUUAAUUAUUGUAUGUGUCUGAAUGUUCUGCCAGCAUGUGUACCAUGUUCAUGUCUGGUACCCGCAUAGGUUAAAAGGAUGCAUUACAUGUUCUGGAACUGGAGUUACAGGUGGUUGUGAACUACCAUGAGGGGCCCAGUCCUCUGGAAGAGCAGUAAGAGCUCUUAAUUGCCCUAAUUUGUCUUAAAAAAAAAAAAGAUUUAUUUGGGGCUGGAGAGAUGGCUCAGAGAUUAAGAGCACUGACUGCUCUUCCAAAGGUCCUGAGUUUAAUUCCCAGCAACCACAUGGUGGCUUACAACCAUCCGUUAUGAGAUCUGGUGCCCUCUACUGGUGUGCAGAUAUACAUGGAAG